RNAcentral lists this ribosomal RNA (1337 nucleotides) under uncultured bacterium. RNAcentral describes it as "bacterial SSU rRNA". It matches the Rfam family "Bacterial small subunit ribosomal RNA", at positions 43 to 1381 of the family's 1533-position model. The record is from RNAcentral.
CAGGCUUAACACAUGCAAGUCGAGGGGCAGCGCGAGUAGCAAUACUUUGCGGCGACCGGCGCAAGGGUGCGUAACGCGUGAGCAACAUGCCCGUAUCAGGGGGAUAAUCCAGGGAAACUUGGUCUAAUACCCCAUAGUAAUCUUAGGAGGCAUCUUUUAGGAUUUAAAGCUUUGGUGGAUACGGAUUGGCUCGCGUGACAUUAGCUAGAUGGUAAGGUAACGGCUUACCAUAGCUAUGAUGUCUAGGGGUUCUGAGAGGAAGGUCCCCCACACUGGAACUGAGACACGGUCCAGACUCCUACGGGAGGCAGCAGUGAGGAAUAUUGGACAAUGGAUGGAAAUCUGAUCCAGCCAUGCCGCGUGCAGGAAGACGGCCCUAUGGGUUGUAAACUGCUUUUAUACGGGAGCAAUAAGGUCUACGAGUAGGCCGAUGAGAGUACCGUAGGAAUAAGCACCGGCUAACUCCGUGCCAGCAGCCGCGGUAAUACGGAGGAUGCAAGCGUUAUCCGGAUUCAUUGGGUUUAAAGGGUGCGUAGGUGGGAAAAUAAGUCAGUGGUGAAAUACUGCCGCUUAACGGUAGAAUUGCCAUUGAUACUGUUUUUCUUGAGUAUGGUUGAGGUAGGUGGAAUGUGUUGUGUAGCGGUGAAAUGCAUAGAUAUGACACAGAACGCCGAUUGCGAAGGCAGCUUACUAAGCCAUUACUGACGCUGAGGCACGAAAGCGUGGGGAUCGAACAGGAUUAGAUACCCUGGUAGUCCACGCCGUAAACGAUGAUCACUCGCUGUUUGCGAUAUACAGCAAGCGGCUGAGCGAAAGCAUUAAGUGAUCCACCUGGGGAGUACGAUCGCAAGAUUGAAACUCAAAGGAAUUGACGGGGGCCCGCACAAGCGGAGGAACAUGUGGUUUAAUUCGAUGAUACGCGAGGAACCUUACCUGGGCUUAAAUGGGGAACGACAGCUGCCGAAAGGUGGCCUUCUUCGGACGUUCUUCAAGGUGCUGCAUGGUUGUCGUCAGCUCGUGCCGUGAGGUGUCGGGUUAAGUCCCAUAACGAGCGCAACCCUUAUCGUUAGUUGCCAGCGGGUCAAGCCGGGGACUCUAGCGAGACUGCCACCGUAAGGUGUGAGGAAGGUGGGGAUGACGUCAAAUCAGCACGGCCCUUAUGUCCAGGGCUACACACGUGUUACAAUGGCCAAUACAAAGGGCAGCUACCCCGCGAGGGGAUGCUAAUCUCUAAAACCGGUCCCAGUUCGGAUUGGAGUCUGCAAUUCGCCUCCGUGAAGUUGGAUUCGCUAGUAAUCGCGCAUCAGCCAUGGCGCGGUGAAUACGUUCCCGGGCCU